CAACCGGGAAACCACAUACCAUGGACAGUGCUCGGGGAAUUUCGGCUCCUCCUCAUCCCUGGAGGUUCCAGGGAUCUGGCAGAGAAAGAAGCCCAGUCUCACAGCAAUGACUCCUGAACAUCCUUUGCAAACACUAUUUAGGACAGAUGGACUGAAGUAGGCCCUGGGGAGAGUUGGGGGCAUUUCCGGAGGGAACAUCCCAAAACUCAGCAGAGGAGGAGAGGGAGCUUUUGUUGGUCACCUGGAACCACUACCAAUCCAUGUUCAUGUCAAAUUAAAUGAUCACUUUGAAGU
RNAcentral lists this long non-coding RNA (294 nucleotides) under Homo sapiens (human). RNAcentral describes it as "long intergenic non-protein coding RNA 2918". The record is from RNAcentral. Lineage: Eukaryota; Metazoa; Chordata; Mammalia; Primates; Hominidae.